This 243-nucleotide ribosomal RNA is filed under the name uncultured bacterium. Its description in RNAcentral is "partial 16S ribosomal RNA". It matches the Rfam family "Bacterial small subunit ribosomal RNA", at positions 91 to 334 of the family's 1533-position model. The record is from RNAcentral.
CUUAGUGGCGGACGGGUGAGUAACGCGUGGGCAACCUGCCCUAUACAGGGGGAUAACAACCAGAAAUGGUUGCUAAUACCGCAUAAGCGCACAGGACCGCAUGGUCCGGUGUGAAAAACUCCGGUGGUAUAGGAUGGACCCGCGUUGGAUUAGCCAGUUGGCAGGGUAACGGCCUACCAAAGCGACGAUCCAUAGCCGGCCUGAGAGGGUGAACGGCCACAUUGGGACUGAGACACGGCCCAG